Molecule: ribosomal RNA, 245 nt
Filed under: uncultured bacterium
Lineage: Bacteria
Description: partial 16S ribosomal RNA
Rfam family: Bacterial small subunit ribosomal RNA
Source: RNAcentral
AACGAACGCUGGCGGCGCGCCUAAUACAUGCAAGUCGAGCGAGAAGAUGUAGCAAUACGUUUGUAAAGCGGCGAACGGGUGAGGAAUACAUGGGUAACCUACCCUCGAGUGGGGAAUAACUAGCCGAAAGGUUAGCUAAUACCGCGUACGCUCCUUGGACUUCGGUUCAGGGAGGAAAGCGAUACCGUGGGUAUCGCGCUCUUGGAUGGGCUCAUGUCCUAUCAGCUUGUUGGGAGGUACGCUCA